Molecule: non-coding RNA, 359 nt
Filed under: Helianthus annuus (common sunflower)
Lineage: Eukaryota; Viridiplantae; Streptophyta; Magnoliopsida; Asterales; Asteraceae
Description: sRNA HanXRQr2_Chr11g0499011
Rfam family: Bacterial large subunit ribosomal RNA
Source: Rfam by way of RNAcentral
UGUUCCUCGAAUCACAAACCCUAUGACAACCGGGGGGUCAUAUAACCAUGGUUGGGGUCGUGGAGGGGUCAUGGGCGAGAUCUAGGUGAAAACGAGACAAUGGUUAGAACCUUGGGUCAAAGGGCAGAAAAGGAUGUGAUCGAUCGACGACAACUAGGAGGUGCGCUUGGAAGCGACCAUCCUUGGAAGAAAGCGAAAUAGCUCACUGGUCUUGCUCCAUGGCACCAACAAUGUAUCUUGGCUCAAGUGAUUCACCGAAGCGAUGGGACACUAAAAGAAACUCUUUAAAGUGUUUGUAGCGGAACGUCCUGUUAAUCGGGGAAGGUUUUCGUUGACAAGACCUGGAGAUAUCAGAAGUG